RNAcentral lists this long non-coding RNA (908 nucleotides) under Amborella trichopoda. RNAcentral's name for it is "long non-coding RNA (ATRI_LNC000774)". Lineage: Eukaryota; Viridiplantae; Streptophyta; Magnoliopsida; Amborellales; Amborellaceae. The record is from RNAcentral.
AAAAACUUAUGUUAUAAGGACUUCUUGCAGCAUAAUAAAGAGAUAUGGAUAGGAAAUCUGGGGGCGAGUCCUCCAAAUAGUGGCUUCUGAGAGUGCUACCACUCUCUUAGUCAAACAAUAGGCAGAAGCUAUGUUUGAUUCUUGAUGUGCAUGUAAAAUCUCCCACUUUUUCAUGUUGAAGAUAGCAUGUGUGGCAAUUGAUGGUCAGAGUGUGUAGGCUCCAUGGGGUUUAGGAAUGGCCUUGAGUAGACUCCACCAAGACAUUGGGAAUCGCUUUCAAUGAGCAAUGAGUAGCACUGUCUCUUGAGUGGAUCAUUAUGUUCUCUUUGAUUUUUUCUUAUUUCCUUCAAGUGAUUCAAUAAAAUUGAGUAGUUCAGAGCAUUCUCUGAGUGGAACAUUAUGUUCUCUUUGAUUUUUUCUUAUUUUUCUCUAGUGAUCCAAUAAAAUUUAGUAGUUCAGAGCAUUACCAUGGUUCACUUAUUUUUCUAUCAUAUUAUUUAUUUUCUUGGUAUUGCAGUAUGUUGUAUUUUUUAAUUCCAUUCAGUUGAAUAACUUUCCUGAGUUUGACUUGAUUCCUGGAAAUCGGGCUUGGGCUUUAUUGGUUAGCUGUUGGCUAUUGCAGCACAACGUCCCAAUAUUAAUUCUUACUGCUACAACUACCCAAAAGGACUUCAGUCUUACUGGUUUAUAAGGAGGGAAAAAAAAUUGAAAUUUGACCAUAGGUGGGAACCCCAUUUCCUUGAAAUAUGAUUUGGAUUCUAAUAUUUUUCUGAUUAUCCAUUUGUUUCACCUAAUUUUCCAUGUUUUCCCUACAUUUAUUGAUGCCACUUCCCUCUAAGUCGCUUAGAAGUUUCAACUUCUUUGCUCCUUUGCUCAACCAUUAUCAGGAAUAACUCUGCAUAUGAGCA